RNAcentral lists this ribosomal RNA (615 nucleotides) under Bootanomyia sp. 3 PJ-2017. Its description in RNAcentral is "LSU rRNA". It matches the Rfam family "Eukaryotic large subunit ribosomal RNA", at positions 703 to 1266 of the family's 3401-position model. Lineage: Eukaryota; Metazoa; Arthropoda; Insecta; Hymenoptera; Megastigmidae. The record is from RNAcentral.
UUAGCCUAAAGGCGCAAUGAAAGUGAAGAUCGACCUCAGCGUCGAUCGAGGGAGGAUGGCUCGUAUUACAAUUAUGCGAGCCCGCACUCCCGGGGCGUCUCGUGCUCAUUGCGAGCAGAGGCGCACCCAGAGCGUACACGUUGGGACCCGAAAGAUGGUGAACUAUGCCUGGUCAGGACGAAGUCAGGGGAAACCCUGAUGGAGGUCCGUAGCGAUUCUGACGUGCAAAUCGAUCGUCGGAACUGGGUAUAGGGGCGAAAGACUAAUCGAACCAUCUAGUAGCUGGUUCCCUCCGAAGUUUCCCUCAGGAUAGCUGGCACUCGCUUGAGCGAGUCUCAUCUGGUAAAGCGAAUGAUUAGAGGCCUUGGGGCCGAAACGACCUCAACCUAUUCUCAAACUUUAAAUGGGUGAGAUCUCUGGCUUGCUCGAACGUUGAAGCCACGAGAUUAAUUUUUGCAAUGGAUCAGAGUGCCAAGUGGGCCAAUUUUGGUAAGCANAACUGGCGCUGUGGGAUGAACCAAACGCCGAGUUAAGGCGCCUAAGUCGACGCUUAUGGGAUACCAUGAAAGGCGUUGGUUGCUUAAGACAGCAGGACGGUGGCCAUGGAAGUCAGAA